Long non-coding RNA from Eleginops maclovinus (Patagonian blennie), 1720 nucleotides. RefSeq lists it as uncharacterized. The record is from RefSeq and is a predicted model, not a curated record. The transcript has 2 exons. Lineage: Eukaryota; Metazoa; Chordata; Actinopteri; Perciformes; Eleginopidae.
UGUGGACCUUGAGUUGUCAAAGGAAACUUAAAGCCAGUUACCCAGAGCUUUCUGAGCGUAAAGCCCUCUGGGUUCUGGUUCUGUCUUUUGUUCCACCGUGUUUAAAAACAUUAGGUUUUAGAUAUAAGCCUCUAUAAAUGUUGCACCCUUUUGGCGACACCAGGACAUUGUCUUUGUCAUGGUUAUGAGUUCAAACAGUAUACAACUUUCUUUUAAUAUAUACAUCUCCAGAAAAAAUGAAGAGACCACUCCACAUGUUUCUUAAAUCUUGAUUUCUUCAUGUAUGGCAGCCAUUCUCGUGUCUGUUGAAUUCCAACACAGAUAAAUGUUGUCAGUAGUUUAUAGAAUACAAUUAAAAAUCUUUUUCCUCAAAGACAUACCUAUAAAUAAUAAAACCUGAGAAACUGAUAAUGCUGCCGUGGUCGCUUUAUUUUUCCCAGAUCUGUAUUUUGGUUAUAAAAAAAUCAGUAGCAGAACAGAAAUUAUUGUGCAUGCUGUGUUAGCGGCAGCGAGUUCUCUGAUGCUCCUAACUCCUUCGCCUCUCUCUCUCACUCGUCCUUGACACAGUUUACAGCUCCAGCCGAGCCUGCUGGGAUCCCAGUGCCAGCAAACAUCCUCCACCUCAUCAGUCCUCCGCCCUCCCAUCACCUCCUUUUUUCUCCUCCGCUGCACUCCUCUUCACUGCGUGUCCGUUUACAUCUCUCUCAUCCUGACUGCUCUACAUAUUUCUUGUUUGCCUUUUCUCCUGAAAUUGCAGUGCUGCUGGCGGCCUGCCCUCAGUCUUUGUGUGAGCCAUGCGGCGCUGCAGCUCUCACACAGCCAAUACAUGCCGUGAGUGAUGAUGAGUGGAAGAGGAAGGCUGCUCCACUUGUUGGCCUCUACCUCCACACACACACACCAACACACACACACAUACACACAGAAGAACACAAAGGCUGAGGCUGUAACAGGAUAUUGCAGGGAGUGUUCUACAGAUGGAUUUGGAGCACAGCUCUGCAUUCAUUAUGGAAUUUCAGCUAAUAUGAUGAGUGGAGUGUAUUAAUGAUGACUGCCACGCACAUUUAACUGCUUUCAAUCAAUACAAAUAGUUAAUUGCAAUCUACCGCAUGAUUUCCACAUUUAACACGCGAUUAUUAAUCAGAAAUGAAUGGCACAUUAGUACUCAAAUAUGAUGGCUUUAUACAAUAUGAAUGUUUUAUAAUAUUAUUAUUGCAGCAGUCCAAAACAAAGACAAAUUUAACUUAAUUCAAUUUAAGGUAAUUUAAUUUAGGCUUAUCAGCCUGCAAUCUGUAGCAACAAAACUAUUUUAAAAAAUGCAUUUCCUGCCGAAAAUGUGUGUGAAUGCUAAAAGCUGCGCAAAUGUAUUGCUGAAAAGAAAAGUGAAAUGCUUUUAUUGUAUUUAUAAAAAUUAACCUUAUGCUGAAGUUGUUGUUUUUAGACAUUGAUAUUUUAGGGCUUUUAUUUUGAAAAACACAUCCUUCUUCCUGCGCUUCUCGUAAAGUAACAGUAAAACUAUGUGAGCGCUUGUGUGAAUGUAUCAGUUUGUCUGUGGGUGUUACUGGAUUAGUUGAUGUCACUCAGGUCCGCUACUUUAUUGAGUAUUCAACCAAGCCGUGUAAUAAAUAUAAAUAUAUAUAUAUAGAUUCACUUUUCUUCGUAUUUUUCACUGGCAGUAUCUGUCCCUUCGUACUUUGAUGGCCGAAUAAAAGAUCAAACAACA